GGAAGCUCUAAAAUGGAGGUUCAGGAUUCAAGAUGAAAAAGGAAAGGUUAGGAUUUAAAGAGACAAAAUCUGAGAGUCAGGAAUUAAAGAGAUCAAUAAUCAAGGGCAUAGAUUAAUUCAUGACUUUUUUAUCCUUUUCUUCUUGGAUCUAAAAGUUGAAAAUUGUGCCUUACAAACAAAAUCAAGGGUUGAGGUUAAAAGUGCC
RNAcentral lists this unclassified non-coding RNA (205 nucleotides) under Hevea brasiliensis (rubber tree). Lineage: Eukaryota; Viridiplantae; Streptophyta; Magnoliopsida; Malpighiales; Euphorbiaceae. The record is from RNAcentral.